ACUUUCGCCGCUUUCUUCGAUCUUCGACUAUGAUCUCAUUCCACCGUCUUUUUUUCUUCUUCGCACUCUUAUAUCCAAGUUUUCAAGAUAUUCUUGAUUUGGAUGAGGAAGAUACUUGCUAUGAGAAUAACAAGCCGGUGUUUUGUCUGCCGAAAUUCGAAAAUGUGGUUGAAGGAAAAAAGAUUACGGCUUCUUCUACGUGCGGUCUCAAAAAUAAAUCACGAAUCUGCUUAAAGAAGAGGAACGAGUAUCUAAAAUGUGACGUCUGCGACUCUACUGAUCGGACAAAACAGCAUCCAACAGAUUUUCUUACAGAUUCGGAUACUCCGAAUAAAACAUGUUGGAUUUCUGAGGCACUUAUGACGCCUCCCCCGCACAACGUCAGCAUUAGAAUACAUUUUGGUAAAUCGUUUGAGCUUACCUACAUUUCGAUCGUCUUUUGUCAAGACGCUCCUGACAGCGUUGCUCUUUAUAAAUCUAUGGACUACGGUCAGCAUUGGACGCCCUUUCAAUACUAUUCAUCUUCUUGUAUGGACUUUUACGGCGUCAGACCUAAUCAAACCAUUACCCGGGACAAUGAACAAGAAGCUCUCUGUUCUCCUCUCAAGGGCGGUGUUUCCGCGACCUACGAUACUCCAACAAUUGCUUUUUCAACUCUGGAGCACAGGCCAAACUCAUUUAACCUAGACAAUUCACCUGUUCUUCAGGACUGGGUGACGGCUACUGAUAUUAAAAUAAUAUUCGAUCGUCUUUUACAGAACAAUGCUCUGGCCAGCAGUUACAUGACUAUGCAUUAUGCCGUCUCCGAUCUAUCGAUCGGUGGACGAUGCAAGUGUAACGGUCAUGCUGACAGGUGUAUUACGGAUGAAUUUGGAAGGUUGAAAUGUGUUUGUAAACACAAUACGGAAGGCAGAGAUUGCGAGCGGUGCAAGCCAUUAUAUCAGGACAAACCUUGGGCGAGAGCCACAAAGCAGAAUGCCAAUGAAUGCGUCAGAUGCAACUGUAACGGACAUUCGAAUGUUUGUCGUUUUAACAAGGAACUUUACGAAUGGUCUGGCCAUACAUCUGGUGGUAUAUGUCAAGACUGCAAGCAUAAUACCGCAGGAAGAUUCUGUCAUUAUUGCAAGGAGAAGUACUACAGAGACGUAACUGUUAAGAUAUCACAUGAACAAGCUUGUAAAGCUUGUGAUUGCCAUCAUUAUGGAUCAAAAGGAAAAGUUUGCAAUUCAGCGAAUGGACAAUGUCCGUGCAAAGUGGGCGUUAUUGGCCGUAAGUGUAAUCUAUGCGCCACGGGCUACCAACAAACUAGAUCGAAAAUUGUGCCUUGUCAGAGAAAAAUUUCCGGUUUGUACAAUUAGUUUGUCGCCUCAUUGCUUAUUUCCACUUGAUUUUACUAUUUGAUGCAUUGCAGGUCGUAAAUCAGACAGGAGUAAGUAUAUACGACUGUAAUUUUCCAUUAAGAUGAUUUGUAAAACAUUUCUUCAUCGUUUCAGAUCGAAAACACAGACGAAAAAGUAGGUUACGCAAUUAAAUGAAUAGUUUUUUUUUAUGAAUCGAAAAUAACCCUCCCUUUGCAGAAAAUUGCUGGAAGUGUUUAAAGAGAUCAAAGAAAGCGAACGCGACAAAGUUUUGUAAACGUGAUUACGGUAAGAAUUGUAUAUCUCAAUCUUUUUGGCCUAGUUACUUCGUAAAAGAUUUCUAACGUUUUAUGUCUGUUUUGCAACAAAUUUUUAUAGCAUUCCACGUGCAUGUCCUCUACACCAAGCUCAAAAAGAUUAAGGAUGAAGAAUAUCUCGCGCAUAGUGUCAUUAUCAAAAUGGUUUACAAGCGGUUACGUCGUUCUGGAAUGUCUCUGAAAAAAAAUGAAAGAACUGUUUUACUUGUGAAAUAUCUCAGUAAGACUUGUAGCUGCCCUCAACUUUUACCAAAGAAAGAUUAUCUGAUCUUAACUCAACUUCGAUCAGAGAGAAAAAGAAGAUCUUAUGUUGGAAGGCAAGGUCUAUUGCUAAACAGAAAAACAGUUGUAUUGGAUUGGAAGAACACAAAUUAUAUGGAGAGAAAAGUAGACAAAUUUCAGAAACGCCAGCGGUAUCUCGGCUGUAAUUAAUGUUCAUGACCGAGAUGAUUAGGGUAAAUCAAAUUUUCAGCCAAGAGAAGUGUGGUUCUUCAUUUUGUACAUAAAAUAUAUACAGUAUAAACUGUAUGUGAAUAUAUAUAUAUAUAUAUAUAUAUAUAU
Molecule: unclassified non-coding RNA, 2236 nt
Filed under: Dimorphilus gyrociliatus
Lineage: Eukaryota; Metazoa; Annelida; Polychaeta; Dinophilidae
Description: netrin-1
Source: RNAcentral